GAUGAACGCUGGCGGCGUGCUUAACACAUGCAAGUCGAGCGGACCAAUCUUUAUGAAGCCUUCGGGUGGAUUAAAGUGAGGUUAGCGGCGGACGGGUGAGUAACGCGUGGGCAACCUGCCCUGUGCAGGGGGAUAACACAACGAAAGAGGUGCUAAUACCCCAUGAAACUGUAAUGCCGCAUGGCAUAACAGUCAAAGAUUUAUCGGCACAGGAUGGGCCCGCGUCUGAUUAGCUAGUUGGUGGGGUAGAGGCCUACCAAGGCGACGAUCAGUAGCCGACCUGAGAGGGUGAUCGGCCACACUGGAACUGAGACACGGUCCAGACUCCUACGGGAGGCAGCAGUGGGGAAUAUUGCACAAUGGGCGCAAGCCUGAUGCAGCAACGCCGCGUGAGCGAAGAAGGCCUUCGGGUCGUAAAGCUCUGUCCUAAGGGAAGAAUAAUGACGGUACCUUAGGAGGAAGCCCCGGCUAACUACGUGCCAGCCGCCGCCGUAACAC
RNAcentral lists this ribosomal RNA (498 nucleotides) under uncultured bacterium. Its description in RNAcentral is "bacterial SSU rRNA". It matches the Rfam family "Bacterial small subunit ribosomal RNA", at positions 28 to 526 of the family's 1533-position model. The record is from RNAcentral.